GGGCAAAGCUCUGUUAUACAGUGCUGCUAAAUAAAGGUAAGGGAAGUUGUGUUUUGUUUCUGUUCUGUGAAUUAAAGUGUGCAUGAGCGAGAUUUAUGUUUGAAAUGGUGAACUAAUGCAUGUGUAAACUGUCUUGAUGUGUUGGUGUUAUUGGAGUUGAAUUUGAAUGAUUUUGUAUGUUAAAUUGUAUGCUCUUUGAAUUUCAGAGUAUAAACUGUGAAAUUGAGGUGGUGAAUUAGUAGGAUGGUGGAAAAAUAACGAAAUUGGGUUGUUAGAACAAUUGGAAAUUGGUUAUGUAGAUUUUUGGAUAAAAGUUACUUGAACAUUUAUGAUUUAGGGUGGUUUAAAGGAAAGGAGAGGGUGAAUUUGAAAUUUAGGGGUUAGGGGCAUGAGUUAGGCUGCUAGGAUACUUUAGGGAAGUCUUUUGUAACUUGGUAGGAGUACUAGAAUGGCUAAAAACAAGUCUGAAAUGGUAGAUUUAAUCUUAAGGCUAUAGGUUGAUGGAAUUGGAGUUUUUGAUUGGAAAUUUAUGCACAAACACUCAAGGAUGGGGUUAGGAAUGUUUAAAACUAGUUAGACAAGUUUAAUUCAUCAUAUACUUCGAAUUAAAAAGGUUAGAAAUUCAUCAAAAGGCCUAGAAUGAAUUUUGGGUAGUUGAGUUGUGCAAAUCUGCAAAAUUUCAUUUCUGUAGAUUAUGCAGACU
This 703-nucleotide long non-coding RNA is filed under the name Vigna radiata. Its description in RNAcentral is "long non-coding RNA (VRAD_LNC007985)". The record is from RNAcentral. Lineage: Eukaryota; Viridiplantae; Streptophyta; Magnoliopsida; Fabales; Fabaceae.